UACGUAGGGUCCGAGCGCUGCUCGGAAUCACUGGGCGUAAAUCGCACGUAGGCGGCUUUUUAAGUCAGGGGUGAAAUCCUGGAGCUCAACUCCAGAACUGCCUUUGAUACUGAGAAGCUUGAGUCCGGGAGAGGUGAGUGGAACUGCGAGUGUAGAGGUGAAAUUCGUAGAUAUUCGCAAGAACACCAGUGGCGAAGGCGGCUCACUGGCCCGGUACUGACGCUGAGGUGCGAAAGCGUGGGGAGCAAACAGG
RNAcentral lists this ribosomal RNA (253 nucleotides) under uncultured bacterium. Its description in RNAcentral is "partial 16S ribosomal RNA". It matches the Rfam family "Bacterial small subunit ribosomal RNA", at positions 524 to 776 of the family's 1533-position model. The record is from RNAcentral.